CCUACGGGUGGCAGCAGUGAGGAAUAUUGGUCAAUGGGCGAGAGCCUGAACCAGCCAAGUCGCGUGAGGGAAGACGGUCCUACGGAUUGUAAACCUCUUUUGUCAGGGAGCAAGGAGCGCCACGAGUGGGGCGGCGAGAGUACCUGAAGAAAAAGCAUCGGCUAACUCCGUGCCAGCAGCCGCGGUAAUACGGAGGAUGCGAGCGUUAUUCGGAUUUAUUGGGGUUAAAGGGUGCGCAGGCGGAUGCGGCAAGUCAGCGGUAAAAUUGCGGGGCUCAACCUCGCCGCGCCGUUGAAACUGCUCUUCUAGAGUUGGCGAGACGUCUGCGGACUGCGUGUUGUAGCGG
RNAcentral lists this ribosomal RNA (346 nucleotides) under uncultured bacterium. RNAcentral's name for it is "partial 16S ribosomal RNA". It matches the Rfam family "Bacterial small subunit ribosomal RNA", at positions 338 to 681 of the family's 1533-position model. The record is from RNAcentral.